CUACGGGCGGCACCAGUGGGGAAUAUUGCACAAUGGAGGAAACUCUGAUGCAGCAACGCCGCGUGGAGGAUGACACUUUUCGGAGCGUAAACUCCUUUUAUAUAGGAAGAUAAUGACGGUACUAUAUGAAUAAGCACCGGCUAACUCCGUGCCAGCAGCCGCGGUAAUACGGAGGGUGCAAGCGUUACUCGGAAUCACUGGGCGUAAAGAGCGUGUAGGCGGAUUAAUAAGUCAGAUGUGAAAGCCAAUGGCUCAACCAUUGAACUGCAUUUGAAACUGUUAAUCUAGAAUAUGGGAGAGGUAGAUGGAAUUUCUGGUGUAGGGGUAAAAUCCGUAGAGAUCAGAAGGAAUACCGAUUGCGAAGGCGAUCUACUGGAACAUUAUUGACGCUGAGACGCGAAAGCGUGGGGAGCAAACAGGAUUAGAUACCCCUGUAGUC
This 439-nucleotide ribosomal RNA is filed under the name uncultured bacterium. Its description in RNAcentral is "partial 16S ribosomal RNA". It matches the Rfam family "Bacterial small subunit ribosomal RNA", at positions 339 to 795 of the family's 1533-position model. The record is from RNAcentral.